CUUGGAGAGUGAUCGGUUGCUCUUCAUCAACCGGAUUGGAGUAGGCGAGGGCACCUGGAAAGGACCAAAUCUAGGUUGUUCUUGUUCUGGAUUGGAGGAAGGCAUCGGAUCAAGGUAUUGGUAGAUUUCUCUUCUACCGAUCACUGCUUCUCCACUUCUUGAAGCUGUGGAGGUCACGGGUGAGGAGGCAAGGGACUAUUGAGGACUUGGAUUCGGGACGAGUGUCUCGACGUGGGAUUAUUUGGCACGAUCGACAGAUCAAGG
Molecule: long non-coding RNA, 264 nt
Organism: Zingiber officinale
Lineage: Eukaryota; Viridiplantae; Streptophyta; Magnoliopsida; Zingiberales; Zingiberaceae
Exons: 3
Source: RefSeq, a predicted model, not a curated record